This 1512-nucleotide ribosomal RNA is filed under the name uncultured Lachnospiraceae bacterium. Its description in RNAcentral is "bacterial SSU rRNA". It matches the Rfam family "Bacterial small subunit ribosomal RNA". Lineage: Bacteria; Bacillati; Bacillota; Clostridia; Lachnospirales; Lachnospiraceae. The record is from RNAcentral.
AGAGUUUGAUCCUGGCUCAGGAUGAAUGCUGGCGGCGUGCUUAACACUUGCAAGUCGAACGGACUUUAGAAUGAAGCUUGCGAUUUCUAAAGUUAGUGGCGGACGGGUGAGUAACGCGAGUCUAACCUGCCUUAUACCGGGGGAUAACACUUACAAAUAGGUGCUAAUACCGCAUAAGCGCACAGCUUCACAUGAAGCACUGUGAAAAACUCCGGUGGUAUAAGAUGGACCCGCGUCUGAUUAGCUGGUUGGUGAGGUAACGGCCCACCAAGGCGACGAUCCCUUUUCUGCCUGAGAGGGUGAACGGCCACAUUGGGACUGAAACACGGCCCAAACUCUUACGGGAGGCCCCACUGGGGAAUAUUGGACAAUGGGGGAAACCCUGAUCCAGCGACUCCGCGUGAGUGAAGAAGUAUUUCGGUAUGUAAAGCUCUAUCAUCAGGGAAUAUACUGACGGUACCUGACUAAAAAACCCCGGCCCACCACGUGCCAGCAGCCGCAGUAAUACAUAAGGGGCAGCGUUAUCCGGAUUUACUGGGUGUAAAGGGAGCGUAGGCGGUUUUACAAGUCUGAUGUGAAAGCCCGGGGCUCAACUCCGGUAUUGCAUUGGAAACUGUAGAACUAGAGUGUCGGAGGGGUAAGUGGAAUUCCUAGUGUAGCGGUGAAAUGCGUAGAUAUUAGGAGGAACACCAGUGGCGAAGGCGGCUUACUGGACGAUUACUGACGCUGAGGCUCGAAAGCGUGGGGAGCAAACAGGAUUAGAUACCCUGGUAGUCCACGCGGUAAACGAUGAAUACUAGGUGUUGGGAGGCAAAGCCUUUCAGUGCCGACGCUAACGCAAUAAGUAUUCCACCUGGGGAGUACGUUCGCAAGAAUGAAACUCAAAGGAAUUGACGGGGACCCGCACGAGCGGUGGAGCAUGUGGAUUAAUUCGAAGCAACGCGAAGAACCUUACCAGAUCUUGAGAUCCAGACGGACUAAUGGUAAUGCAUUAAGCCCUUCGGGGCGUCUGAGACAGGUGGUGCAUGGUUGUCGUCAGCUCGUGUCGUGAGAUGUUGGGUUAAGUCCCGCAACGAGCGCAACCCUUGCCCUUAGUAGCCAGCACGUUAUGGUGGGAACUCUAAGGGGACUGCCAGGGACAACCUGGAGGAAGGUGGGGAUGACGUCAAAUCAUCAUGCCCCUUAUGAUCUGGGCCUCACACGUGCUACAAUGUCGUAACAGAGGGAUGCGAAGGAGCGAUCCGGAGCGAAUCCCAAAAAUAACGACCCAGUUCGGAUUGUAGGCUGCAACCCGCCUGCAUGAAGCUGGAAUCGCUAGUAAUCGCAGAUCAGCAUGCUGCGGUGAAUACGUUCCCGGGUCUUGUACACACCGCCCGUCACACCAUGGGAGUCGGGAAUGCCCGAAGCCGGUGACCUAACCGCAAGGAAGGAGCCGUCGAAGGCAGGCUGGAUGACUGGGGUGAAGUCGUAACAAGGUAGCCGUAGGAGAACCUGCGGCUGGAUCACCUCCUU